GUCGAACGCGAAAGGGGGCUUCGGCCCCCGAGUAGAGUGGCGCACGGGUGAGUAACACGUGGGUAAUCUACCUUUGGAUGGGGAAUAACAACCGGAAACGGUUGCUAAUACCGCAUAAUGCAGCGGCACCUAAUGGUGACAGUUGUUAAAGCGGGGGAUCGAAAGACCUCGCGUCUGAAGAGGAGCCUGCGGCGGAUUAGCUAGUUGGUAAGGUAAUGGCUUACCAAGGCGACGAUCCGUAACCGGCCUGAGAGGGCGGUCGGUCACACUGACACUGACAUACGGGUCAGACUCCUACGGGAGGCAGCAGUCGGGAAUUUUGGGCAAUGGGCGAAAGCCUGACCCAGCAACGCCGCGUGAAGGAUGAAAUCCCUCGGGAUGUAAACUUCGCAAGAACGGGAAGAAUAAGUAGGGGACAAUACCCCCUAUGAUGACGGUACCGUUUGUAAGCUCCGGCUAACUCCGUGCCAGCAGCCGCGGUGAUACGGGGGGAGCAAGCGUUGUUCGGAUUUACUGGGCGUAAAGGGCGCGUAGGCGGUCAGCACAAGUCAGUUGUGAAAUCUCCGAGCUUAACUCGGAAAGGUCAACUGAUACUGUGCGACUAGAGUGCAGAAGGGGCAACUGGAAUUCUCGGUGUAGCGGUGAAAUGCGUAGAUAUCGAGAGGAACACCUGCGGCGAAGGCGGGUUGCUGGGCUGACACUGACGCUGAGGCGCGAAAGCUAGGGGAGCGAACGGG
Molecule: ribosomal RNA, 737 nt
Filed under: uncultured bacterium
Lineage: Bacteria
Description: bacterial SSU rRNA
Rfam family: Bacterial small subunit ribosomal RNA
Source: RNAcentral